GAUGAACGCUAGCGAUAGGCUUAACACGUGCAAGUCGAGGGGCAGCAUGGUCUUAGCUUGCUAAGGCUGAUGGCGACCGGCGCACGGGUGCGUAACGCGUAUGCAACUUGCCUCACAGAGGGGGAUAACCCGUCGAAAGACGGACUAAUACCGCGUACACUCUAUGUUGGGCAUCCAAUGUAGAGGAAAUGAAAUUCGCUGUGAGAUAGGCAUGCGUCCCAUUAGCUAGUUGGUGAGGUAACGGCUCACCAAGGCGACGAUGGGUAGGGGAACUGAGAGGUUGAACCCCCACACUGGUACUGAGACACGGACCAGACUCCUACGGGAGGCAGCAGUGAGGAAUAUUGGUCAAUGGGCGAGAGCCUGAACCAGCCAAGUCGCGUGAAGGAUGACUGUCUUAUGGAUUGUAAACUUCUUUUAUACGGGAAUAACAAGAGUCACGUGUGGCUCCCUGCAUGUACCGUAUGAAUAAGCAUCGGCUAACUCCGUG
Molecule: ribosomal RNA, 490 nt
Filed under: uncultured bacterium
Lineage: Bacteria
Description: partial 16S ribosomal RNA
Rfam family: Bacterial small subunit ribosomal RNA
Source: RNAcentral